AGGUCACGAGGUCGUCCAUUCCCCGCGCAGCCCACGCCAAGCCGCUGCUUACCCGGAGCCGGAGCGGACUCUUCUCUUCUAGAGACGGGUCAACUCUGCGGCGGCGGGGCGCAGAGGGGAGGAGCUUCCUCUCUCCGACCUGGCCCUCCCAGGCGCUACCAGCCACCCGAGCCUGCCUGUCGGAGCUCCUCCCUCCCCAGACUUCUCAGGCGACGUCAGCGGCGGAUGCCGAGGCGUGGAUGAGGGCCCCUGGCCCGCGAUCCUCCCAGCAAGGCUCCCGCCUCGGCCUGAGGCCCGAGAUCUCCGCUUUGUGGUGCCCAGACGACGUGUGCCACACCGGCGGGGCUCGGGCGGGGGCUUGGGAGUGGGGAAGUGAGCCAGGGGCGCUCAAUUUGUCUUCUCUCCCCCCAACCCGCUAGGUUGGAAAGGUUUUCUUUUGGGGAAAUUUCCUCUCCGCAGCCUCACACCCAGUCAGCGGACCCUCCCAUCCAGGAGGAAUCUCCUCUGGUCCCAUCGGCGCGUCUUCCGGGAGUCGCCAAACACCGGAGGUAGCAGGGUGGGUGUGGCAGCUGCCGUUUCCUGACUCCGCGCCUGCGCGGAAAGCCCUUUGAGGGAGUGCGGUCGUGAUUUACUAGGGCUCCGCACUUCUCAGCCCGACAGAGAUUGAAAAGUAACCUUGAGAGAGUCCCUCCCUUGAUUCCAGGGAAAGUUACUAGAGGAUGUGCUCCAACAAAACAUGAGAGCAAGACAAGAAAGAGAAAGACUUGGGAUCCAGAAAAAAGGACCAGGAGAAUGUGAAGGGAAAUGCCAGGGUGAAAGAUAUGUGGCAGAAUUAGAGAGCAAUCGUUUUCACUGGAGAAGGAAGAUGGCAGACUCCAAGAAGGAAGACUGAUGAUGGAUAUACCAUAAUUUACCCCUCAUUGGUGGACACUUAGCUGGUUUCCACAUAUUUACUCUUACAAAUUAUGCUGCAAUAAGUAAUCGUUACAUAUGUCAUUUCAUACAUGUGCAAGUGUAUCCAUAUAUAUGUCCUAGAAGCUGAAUUGCUGGACAAAAGAGUUAUGUUCAUUUGUAAUUUUGGUUUGUACUGUUGAAUUGAUCUUCACUGAGGUUCUUCCAAUUUUUUUUUUCUGCAGACAAAUGAGAGUGCUGUUUCUCCACACACCUUCUUUCAUUUCUUUUCGAGAUAGAUAGUAUAAUGUUGAUCUGCUGAUUCCUGGAUUUCAGUGCUUCUAAACUCAUUUAAAUGCUAAGAUUCUUUUUAUUGCAGCCCUUCUAAAUAUCUGGCUUCAAUUUGUUUAUCACAACCUCAAACCUUUAGCUUUCAUGAUAGUUUCACCAUUAUACAGCUUAAAAUAUAUGUAUUCUUAGUGAUAUGUACAUUGUUUAAUUAAUGCCCAUAAUGAAUGGCUAAUGACAGAAAACCUAAAGAAUACUGAUGCUAAACUACAUCAACUAAAUGAGAAACAAAAAAAUGAGAAAAAUUAUGCAAAUUAGGCUAAAAAACAAGCCUCAACACCUGUAUGUUGAAUUCAUCUAUUCAAAAUUCUGUAGAAUCAUAUUAAGUCAUAUUUUCCAUUUACUGAGAAUAAAGGUUAUUUAUAUCUGCAUGUGCUAUUUUAGGGACAUGGUAGCUUCAAAUGGCAUGCUUGAAAUCUCUCAUAGUCUGUUUUUUGUUUUGUUUGUUUGUUUUUUUAAGCUUCAAUGCCUUUUAUUCCUGUAAGUGCUAUUUAUUUAUUUUUCUAAUUUUAUUUUUUAAAUUAAUUUUUAUUGUAGUUGCUUUACAAUGUUGUGUUAGUUUCUACUGUACAGCAAAGUGAAUCAGCUAUAUGUAUACAUAUAAUGUCCAUCGACAGAGGAAUGGAUAAAGAUGUGGUAUAUAUAUACAAUGGAAUAUUAUUCAGCCAUAAAAAGGAAUGAAAUUGGGUCAUUUGUAGAGAUGUGGAUGGAGCCAGAGACUGUCAUAAAGAGUGAAGUAAGUCAGAAAGAGAAAAACAAAUAUCAUAUAUUAACGUUUAUAUGUGGAAUCUAGAAAAAUGGUAUAGAUGAUCUUAUUUGCAAAGCAGAAAUAGAGACACAGACGUACAGAACAAACGUAUGGACACCAAGGGACGAAGUGGGGGGGUGGGGUGAAUUGGGAGAUUGGGAUUGACAUAUAUACACUAUUGAUACUAUGUAUAAAAUAGAUAACUAAUGAGAAUCUACUGUAUAUAGCUCAAGGAACUCUACUCAAUGCUCUGUGGUGACCUAAAUGGGAAGGAAAUCCAAAAAAAGAGGGGAUAUAUCUCAUAGUCUUUUAAAUUAGAAACAAGACAGAAAAGUUGAAAAAUAAACUACUUAAAAAAGUACAAAUGCAAGAAUUAAAAACAUCUCAUAUUCUAUUUUUUUCUAUUUUUUGGUCUAAAAGCAUCUGGUAACCAUUGGGGGAAAAUGGGUGAAGGAUAUGUGGGACUGCUCUGUAUUAUUUUUACAACUUCCUGUGAGUCUAUUAUUAUGUCCAAAUAAAAAGUUUUAAAAGGUUGU
Balaenoptera musculus (blue whale) is the source of this 2523-nucleotide long non-coding RNA. RefSeq lists it as uncharacterized. The record is from RefSeq and is a predicted model, not a curated record. NCBI's taxonomy places the organism in Eukaryota, Metazoa, Chordata, Mammalia, Artiodactyla, Balaenopteridae. The transcript has 4 exons.